RNAcentral lists this long non-coding RNA (3737 nucleotides) under Sus scrofa (pig). RNAcentral's name for it is "lncRNA (ENSSSCG00065021005.1)". The record is from RNAcentral. Lineage: Eukaryota; Metazoa; Chordata; Mammalia; Artiodactyla; Suidae.
UGCCAGGAGCAUUUUUCAUAGAACUAGAACAAAUAAUUCUAAAACUUGUACAGAAACACAAAAGACAUCAAUAGUCAAAGCAAUCUAGAGAAAGAAGAACAGAGCUGGAGAUAUCACACUCCCAUACUUCAGGCUAUACUACAAAGCUACCAGUAAUCAAAACAGUAUGGUACUGGCACCAAAACUUAAACACAGAUUAAUGGAACAGAAUAGAAAGGCCAGAAAUAAACUCUCACAUUUACGUCAAAUAAUCUAUGACUAGGGAAAAGAUUAUACAAUGGGGAAAAGACAGUUUCUUCAAGUAGUGGUGCUAGGAAAACUGUACAGCCACAUGUAAAACAAUGAGAUUAAAACUCCUUCCACUAAAUAUUAACUCAAAAACCUAAAUGUAAGACCUGAUAUCAUAAAAAUUCUAGAAGAAGACACAGGCAGAACACUCUAUGACAUAAAUCAUGGCAAUAUUUUUUUGGAUCUGACUCCUAAGGCAAAGAAAAAAACCAAAAUGGACCAAAUUGGACUUAACUUUUGCACAUCAAAGGAAAUCAUAAGCAAAACAAGAAGAAAAUCCACUCAAUAGGAGAAAAUAUUUGCAAAUGAUAUGACAGAUAAAGUGUUAAUAUCCAAAAUAUAUCAACGCUCAUACAACUCAAUAUCAAAGUAACAACUCAAAAAAUGGGCCAAAGAGCCAAAUUUGACAUUUUUCCAAAGACCUACAGAUGGCCAAGAGGCACAUGAAAAGAUGUUCAAUAUCACUACUCCUCAGAGAAAUGCAAAUCAAUACUACAAUGAGGUGCCACCUCACACUGAUCAGAAUGGCUAUCAUUAAUAAGACUACAAAUAACAAAUGCUGGAGAGGGUAUAGAGAAAAGGGAACCCUCCUGUUCUGUUGAUGGGAAUGUAAACUUGUAUCAUCACUAUGGAAAGCAGUACAGAGCUUCCUCAAAGAACUAAACAGAACUACCGUAUGAUCCAGGAAGUUUACUCUUGGGUAUAAAUUUGUAGAAAAUGAAACCACUAAUUCAAAAAGAUACAUGCAUUCUAAUAUUCACAGUAGCAUUUUUUAUAAUAGACAAGAUAUGAAAGCAACCUAAGUGUCCAUCAACAGAUGAACGCAUAAAGAUGUGGUGUGUACACACACACACACAGGAAUGCUACUCAGCCACAAAAAGGAAUGGAAUGUUUCCAUUUGCAACAACAUGGAUGGACCUGGAGGGGAGUAUGCUUAGUGAAGUAAGUUAGACAAAGACAAAUAUUGCAUGUAUUGCAUGUUCUCACUUCUAUGUGAAAUAUAAAAUAUAGAGUAAAUGAAUGAAUAUAACAAAACAGGAAUAGACUCAUAGACACAGAAAACAAACUAAUGGUUACCAAUGGGGAGACGGGAAGGGGCAAAAUAGAGGUAGGUGAUUAAGAAGCACAAACUUCUGUGUAUAAAAUAAGUAAGCUUCAAGGAAGUACUGUAUAACACAGAGACUAUAGCCAACAUUUUACAAUAACUUUAAAUGGAAUACAGUCUAUAAAAAUGUCCAAUCACUACGUUGUAUACAAACCAAUAUAAUAUUAUAAAUCAACUAUAUAUCAACUUAAAAAAUGAAAAGGGAGACAUAAUACAAAUACAGGGAAGAUUAAUGAUCGCUAAAAAGUAAGCCAUCAAAAUUAAGAAAUAAAGAAAAAUCAAUGGGAGCUCCCAUUGUGGCUCAGCAGGUUACAAACACGACUAGUAUCGAUGAGGAUGAGGGUUCAAUACCUGGUCUUACUCAGUGGGUUGGGGAUUCUGCAUUGCUGUGGCUGUGGGGUAGGCCAGCAGCUGCAGCUCCAAUUUGAUCCCUAGACUGGGAACUUGCAUAUGCCACAGGUGUGGCCCUAAAAAGAAAAAGAAAGAAAAAUCAAUAACCAUUACCAAAAAAAAAAAAAUUACAAAAAACCUUUCCUAUGUAGGUACUAUUAUCUCUAUUUUACAGAUAAAGAAACUGAGUGCCAGACAGAUUAAGUAACUUGUUCAAGUUUCCACCACCAUCAAUCACAUCAUCAUGCUAUACCCCACCUGGUCCAUGCUAGCCUUGUGGGCAUCAAAGAAGAUGACCCUGGUCUUCCACAGGAUGCUCAGAAUCUUUAAAAUACUCUUUCUGAAAAUAUAAAAACUGAGUUUAUGGGACAAAAACAAAUUGACAACCUCCUAAUUACUAUCAUUGUUUCCCCACUGUCCCUUGGUUUUCUCUUUCUACUUGGAUUAUUUUUUCUUUUGUUUUUGAUGCUCUUUAGCAUUUCUACAUGACAUAGCAGGGAUGAAAUUUAGUUUUGCUUCUUGUGUACGAAGAGCUAGGUGGAAGAGAAAGAAGAUUGCCCAGGAUGAAAUGCAUUUAACUUGUUAAAGCAAAAGGAGAUUAAGUCAUCAUAAUCACGUUAAAAUGGGUAACUAGAUAGAAUUUCUAUUAAAGCAGUCCCUCUGGAAGUCCUUGCCACUGGACAUGUUAGUGAAACUGACAUGGAGCAAGAUUCUCUUUCCAUCUCAGUGAAAAACCAUAGCCCCUUCAAUAGUAUCCAAAAUAGACUUAAUCAUUAUUGCCUUGUAUUUUUUAAACAGCGUUACUGAAGAAUAAUUGAUGUAUAAGUUUGUACAUUUUGAUAUAUAUAUAAACAACUGUGGAACCAUUAGUACAGUCAAGACUGAUGAAUUUACAGUAGAAAUUGAUACAACAUUGUAAAUCAACUAUACUUCAGUUAAGGAAAAAAAAAAGAUAAUGAACAUUUCCACCGCUAUUGAGUUUCUUCCUACCCCUUUUCUAAUCUCUCCCUCCUGCCCUUUCCUGCACCCCCUUCCCCCAUCACCCACUGAGUAUUUUCUGACACUUUGGAUUCACAUGCAUCUUUUGGAAUUUUAUGCAUAUGAAAUAUGUAUAUUGUAUAUAUUCUUUGCGGGGGUCGGUGGUUUAUUCAUGUUGUUGCAUGUAUCAAUAGUUUAUUCCUUUUUAUUGAAAGCAGUGCUCCAGUACAUGACGAUACCAUAAUUUGUUAACCCAUUCCCCUUUUGAUGGACACUGUGGUCUUUUCAGCUUUUGGCUAUUACAAAUAAAGCUACUAUGACCACUCAUGCACAAGUGAACAAAAUGCUGUUGUUCAGAGUGUCCACUCAUUUCAGAAUGGACAUAUGCUUUCAUGUCUCUUGGAUAAACACUUGAAUAGAAGAGCUUAAUCAUAGACAUUUAUGUUUAAUUUUUAAACUUCUUUCCAAAGUGGUUGUGGUUGUACAAUUUUACAUUCCCACGAGGGAUGUAGGAGAGUUUUAGUUAUCUCAUAUUCCAACCAAUACUUGAUAUGGUCCAACUUCUUAGUUUUAACUAUUCUAAUAGGUAUAGGACUAAUAAUGUGCAUCUUUUCAUGUAUUUAUUUGCCAUUUGUAUUUUUUGUUGUUAAGUACAUCUGUUUCAAAUCUGCACAAAUCUUUUAUCCAUUUGUUAAACUGAUUGUGUAUUUUUUCUUAUUAUUGUUUCUUGACAGUGCUUUAUAUAUUCUGGUUACAAGUUCUUUAUUAGAUUUUAGACCACACAAAGAUGCUCAUGUCUUGAUCCCCAGAACCUGUCAACAUGUUACCUCAUAUGGCAAAAAGGACCUGGCUGAUGUGAUUAAGGACCUUGAGAUGGAAAAUUACCCUGGAUUAUCUAGGGGGCCAUAUAUGUAAUCACAAGAGCCAUUGUAAAAAGGAGGCAAAAGGGUCAGUGUGGGAGAAAGACAUCGAUGUG